RNAcentral lists this ribosomal RNA (256 nucleotides) under uncultured prokaryote. Its description in RNAcentral is "partial 16S ribosomal RNA". It matches the Rfam family "Bacterial small subunit ribosomal RNA", at positions 524 to 777 of the family's 1533-position model. The record is from RNAcentral.
UACGGAGGAUGCGAGCGUUAUCCGGAUUUAUUGGGUUUAAAGGGUGCGUAGGCGGCUUUUUAAGUCAGCGGUGAAAUUUUGUCAGCUUAACUGUAACAAGUGCCGUUGAUACUGGGGAGCUAGGAUUUGGUUGCUGUGGGUGGAAUGUGUGGUGUAGCGGUGAAAUGCUUAGAGAUCACACAGAAUAUCGAUUGCGAAGGCAGCUCACAGAGCCAAGAUUGACGCUGAGGCACGAAAGUGUGGGGAUCAAACAGGA